This is a long non-coding RNA of Leopardus geoffroyi (Geoffroy's cat), 6633 nucleotides long. RefSeq lists it as uncharacterized. The transcript is spliced from 2 exons. The record is from RefSeq and is a predicted model, not a curated record. NCBI's taxonomy places the organism in Eukaryota, Metazoa, Chordata, Mammalia, Carnivora, Felidae.
UUCUCAUCUCACUUUUGUUUCCCAUUCAACAAGUUUGUAUCGAUUGCUUGUAAUCUAGUACAAGGUUGGUGUUGGGUGCUCACUUUUAAACAUCCGAUUGCACAGAGAAAGCUAACGGUUCAUUGUCACUCUGAUUAGAAUUAAGAACAUGAGAUCGAUGGAUGUGUUACGUCUCUAUAGAGCUUUAUAGUUUGCACACUGCUUUUGUAGUUGUUAAAGUUCAUUCUUGUAACAUUUUUCAAAGUUUGAUGUCUAUAGAGAUCGCUUGAGGAUUUUAUUAAAAUGUCAGUUCUGAUUAACAAGUCGGGGCUGUAGCCUGAGAAUCGGCAUUUCUGCAAGGUCAUGUUUUACCUGCUCCUGGUUCACUUCCAGUUGCAAGGCCUUUUGUACUUGUUCCUCUUUUGCUGCACGUGAAGCAACUUAGAGUAGACAGGCUGAAUGACUAGCUCAAUCACAGGGUGAGACCCUGCCAAGCCAGAGCAGUACACGAGAGGUUUGAUUCAGACCAGUGCGAGCGCCACCUUCCCUGAUGUCACAGAAACUAGUGAUUACAGAGAGACCCUCUAAAAAUAUUAGGAGAAAAAGUAAUACAAACUUAUAAAGAUAUGUGCAAAAUGAGACAGGCUUCUUUUGCCCCUCAAGAUUUUCAGAAUACUGCCUCAGAGACUUCAUCUUUUCCAGAAAUGAAAGUGAUUUGUGAAUGAUCAUUUUUUGAGAUUUCCAUAUGUUUUAAAUAGAAACACAUUUUAGAAGAAAAACAUAGCGAGAUUAUUUGCUCUCUUAAAAAAAAAAACAACAGAAAAUAGCGAAUCUAUCCUUAAAACUAUUGAAAUGCAUUAAUUUGUACAAGGUAAUAUUUACUUCUCUGAUACUGUGUUCCAAAACGACCAUUCUGUUUCUUCUGGUACCUGCCCAUGACCCCCAAAUUUAGUAAGAUCUGAAAAGAGAUGUUUUAGUGCCAACAUGCAGAUGGAAAAACAAAAGCCAUGGAAGGAUAAGCCACUUACACAAUAUAUUAUCUAAGUGGCUGUAGACCAGGGAUCAGAACCCAGUUUUCCCUUUCUCUGUACUCUUCUCCUUAGGUGCCUGGGAAUGAUAGACAAACCCAGUAUCUACUGACAGUCAAUAAUGAAGUAAAUCUCAGAGCUCACUAAAGAUUAAUGGAUUUUCCAAAGUAACUUCUGGGUAGUUAAGAUUUGACUCAAUAAAAGCUGGAACCAUCUUCUCUAGCUGAGUUCAGCCACAUCUAUUACUUGCUGAAGCUUAAAAGUAUUCUCUGGAUGGCACUGAUUAUAUAGCAGCUUGAUUCUUUGCAAGCGCAGAAUAGUCCAUAGUUUUGUGUUCUUAAUGGCAAAUCACCUAAAAUUGUUUUUAUUGAGUACUUACCACGUGCAAUAAUAUCUGUAUAUUUUAUGGAUGCCUGUAUGGAGUGAAAAUUGCUGUAAACCAGGAGAAGAUACUUGUAUUAAAGCCAAAUCAUCAGGAUUGCCAAAGAGUAUAUUUUAAGAAAGUAGUCAUGCAAUUCUCAGUUAGGCUAAGAUCUCUCCCUAGUUCAAAUCUAUUUGCUGGAGUCACAACAAAGUAUUUAGUAGGUGUUAGGAAAUAUCCGUUAGUUCAGUUACAACAUGGUUGCCUUUAGUAUCAACACAUUUAGCAGCCAUGUGGUUUAUUUUUAUGUUGAUGCUUUGUGCAAAGUGCCAUCUACAACCAAUAAAUCUAAUUAUUAUGUGUUCCUAUUCAAAAAUGAACGCAAGGUUUUGUAUCUAUAUAUGUACAUCAGCUAAAUAUUAAUAAAAAUAUUAAAUAUGUACUUGAUGUGAAAUAGUGGCAUUGCUUAACUUACUUAGAAAAGAAGUAUCCCUGAAGGAGUGUAUGAAUUACCCAUAUGCUUUGUAAGUUAAUAUUCUAAAACUACUUGAAGUCACCAGUUUUUGGUAUUAUAAAUCGCUUGGAACAGUGUCUGAUGCAAAGCAAGUGCUCAGUAAAUGGCAACCCUUUCUAAUGAUUCAUUAACCUUCACAACAACUUUAUUUUAUUUGUACCUUCCCCCUCACCACACAGGCCAACAGAUGAGGUUACCAAGGCAUAGAUAUGUUGAGUAACUUGCUCAAGAUCACACAGCUAAACAGCUAGGCAGUUGUAAAAUUGGUCAGUGAAUACAAAAAUUUAUCCUCAGAAACUAUAUAUUCUUAAUCCCUCGCUUCUGUAAGCAUUUAAAUAAAAUAAUAACAAUAAUAAGUAACUUUAUUUCAAACUCUUGUGUCUUCUCUGAGCCUUGUUUAUUUCACUAUAUCCUUAGGAUUUGCUCUCAGUUCCAAUAUUUAUAAAAUCUUUUGCAGCCAGAACUACUGUAGAGAACAUUAUACAGACAUUCUUUAUUACCCCAUGUAUUAACUAGGAAAUAUUUCAUUUGCCAGGAAAUGUAAAACAAAGACCUGUAAUUAAAAGAAAAUAGAGACGGUGAGGCAGAAGUUAACGUGCUUAAUUCUUACUUGGAAAAAACAUUGGAUGCUGAAAUUAAUAUGCAUCAAAAACUGACAUAUCAAAACCUGACUUAAUUUUAAGCUGUUUUUAGAUGAAUUGCCCAAAUACUUAGAGUUAAGUCACAGCCAAAGUUGUGUUUGAGGUUUCACUUCAUACAGUUUGAACUUUCUUGCUAUAGAAAUAGGAAAGUCUUUUGACCCCUGACUUUUUAUGCUUCACUUAUUUGAACUGCAUUUUUAUUUUCUCACAAAUUAAAAACCAUAUCUUUCGGCAAAGAGCCUAUUAGGGGAACAAAUCUUCCUUGAAAAUGUUCUGAAACAGGCUUCAUUUUCAUCCUUGUGUAAUUUUAUUUCCAAACUGAGAGCCAACUGGAGCAUGUCAGAAACAGCUGAUGAGUAGAUGAAGUAAUGACUUCUUACAUAACAAGAUUAGUUUUCUCAUUUGGAAGAAUAAAGGAAUGAAAAAUAUGAGGUGGUUAAUUCCACUGUCAGAAUACCUGUUACUCAUGCGUGGGAAUCUUUCUGGAAAACAGCUUCCUUUCAAAUGUACAGAUAUUAGAAAGACAGGAGUAUCAAUCAUGGCCAUACGUAGUAAAUAACAAGAAGAGAGAAAGGGCUCAUGAGACAAACAACUAAGGCAUAAAGCAGAGGAAGAAAGACACAACUUAUAUAUACGAAAAGAAAAAAAGAAAAGAGCUAAUAUGUGAAAGUUAAAAUGGUGCUUAAGCUUUAAACUGAUAAGACAAAUGUAAUAGAGAGUGGAGGCAAUUACCUUGGUAACUCAGGCCCCAAAGUCUGCAGGUAAGUAAAAUGUAUGGGAAUAGACCUACAUUUUUUCCUACUUUGGGCUUUCAGUAAUCACUUUCACUCAUCAAACUGCUGUAGUCACAUUCUGAAUCCAAUGGGAUUAAAGGCAUAUGGCACAAACUAGAAUCCUGGUUUUUAGAAAAAAAUAAUCCAGAUGGUGUAGACGGCUACUAAAAUAUAUGCACGUACACACACACACACACACACACACACACACACACACACACAGAGUCAUGUUUAAUUAUAGUGUAAUUGGUGCUGUGCUAUUGUUCAUGAAGGUAAAAAUGACCCAGAGUAUGAAGUGUUCAAUCUUAAAAUGUACAGAAGGCUCGUCACACGUAGAAGAUGCUCAAUUUAUUUAAUGAAUGAAACAAACAAAACACCAAAAUAGUACAAAGUUGUGAACAUAACAGAAAAAGCAAAGGCAUACAAGGAUAUGCAUUUCAAACUGAAUAUUUUUGAGCACGUCUUGGAUCUGGUUGUUUGCACAAUGGCUGCCUUGUUCAUAUUUGUUUUCCCUUUAUAUUCAGAAAUUCUAUUUUGAGAAGUUAUGCAUUGAGUCUGGAUUUUUCCCACCUCACCCCUCUUUGAAGCAGAUGAAAGGCAUAUCUUCUAUCUGUACAAGUUUCUUCCUGCCCUGUUUUGGAUUUCUUAUGCCUUAUAACACUAGGUUAAUUAUAUCCCCUAUGAAUUAAGGAGAUGUGGAUACACUUCCUUCUGCAGAGCUAUAUAUAAAUAUUUUCUACAUAUGGAGAGAGUUAAGACUAAGCAAGCCUCCUGCUAACAUUUGCAGGCCUGGGGCAAGAAUAUAUGCUAUAUGUAUGACUAUUCAUAAUUAUACAUCGAAUUAGCAAAGUAUUAAAUAAAACAGACUUAUUCAUACCUUGACCAAGAUAUUUUUCAUAAAAUUCUAGAAGGUUAGUUUUAAACUUAGAAUUCUUAGAUUCCUGAGGUUUCUAUUCUAGAAUAUGGCAGUGGCGGGGAGAGCUGGUCCUCAGCCCCCCCACCCCCCAUGCUGUUUUUAUCCCAUUGUCUUCCCUUUGGAUUCCUCCUGUCUUUUCAAGGGCCUUACCCACAUGUGAGAUAUCCCAGCUUACAAACCCAAACUUCUGCCAACCCUCCCAAGAAACCACUCUGGCUAGGUAUCUGCACUGCAGACAUCCAAACAGACAAUUGCAUUGAAAGCUCUUCUUGCCCAGAAUUACAGACACUUCAAGUUAAACAACACUUAGAAAUUCUUGCCUUAAUGAAGAUUAUUCUUUGCACUCUACUUAUGCCUAUGAAAUGUGAUAUUUAAAACAAUGGUAUAAUGAUAUCUCCUGGUAGAUACGUGAAUCUGAUGAAGAAAAUUUUCUUCAGGUGAAGAAAAUGGAAUUCAGGGAUGUCAACAUUCAUAACUUUUAAAAAUUCAUAGGUUAAGAAAAUAACACAUUUACCACAAGUCUUCAAGGGAAAGCCAAUAUCAAUACUGGGACAUUAGCAGAAGACUUUUCAUUCCUGAAAUACUAUUAGGAACAAUUACCUAGCCUAAGGUACAACUGAGGGAGAAGCUCAUCAAACAAACUUUGAAAAAUAUUUUAUGAUGAAUAUUUAUUAGUCGAUUUUAAGAUUGCAAGCUAGGUAUGGCCUAUUACAGACGUUCUUUGUCAAUAUUUUAUGACUAUGCUGAAAUGUCCUGGGAGAACUUGGGGGAAAAAUGGAAAUGAAAUUGCUUUCUGAGAGCUAAACUGUGAAAUCAACACAUAGUCGAUCAGAUCAGAGAUCUGCAAAGUUGCCUUAAAGAGAGAGAUUGGCUUCCUGAAUUGCAAAACUAAACAAUCUAAUUGAAUGUAGUAAAAUAGCAAAAGAAAGAAUUAUGCCCAUCAGAAAGAAGUUAGUCAGAAAAUGAAAUAUAGAAAAGAGAGGGUCCCAGAACUGAAUUGACUAUGUCAAUAUAAAUAUACUCUCAUGGACAAGAUGCCUUUUUCAACAAAUUUUGAAUAUUUCUAUCUCAGUGGAAAGGCCAUCCCUAAUGUGGGUAUGUACAUGUCAGGCUGUCUGAUCCUGCCAGUAAAUAUUUAUAUCAUUUAGUUUUCCCUCUUUGUUCUAACUCAGUUCUUUCCAGGCCUUCUUCUUAUAAAGAAUUUGUUUCCGAUGUAGUUCAGUCUAAAUGGCUAAUUAUGCCUGCUGGGAGGAUACAAAUCAUGUGCGAUGAUUUUGUUGUUAUAUAUUAAUCAAGAGGCAUUGUAGUGUGUGUAGGAGAAUGUUAAUUCUCUGCUCAGACUUCGUAUUAACAGAACCCUGAUAUUUUUGUAAUGUUCCUAAAUAAAUAAAUAAAAACUACAUUUUCCAGCUUCUCUUGCAGGAUACAAAGGCUGAAAUAACAGAAAAUCAGAGGAUCUCGUGGUAAUGUGGAGUUGCCACACCUCUCCUAAGCUACUUACCUCUGAGUAUUUUGUUAUAUGGAAAAACAAAACAAAACAACUCUCCCCUUCAGAUAAGCCACCAUAGAAUCCAUGUUGCCUGCACCCAAAUAACAGUCCUACGUGAGAAACAGAGUCUUCUCAUCAGCCUUUGAAAAACUGUUGUCAUAAAGCUGAGGAUGGUGAAUUAAUUAAGUCAACAAGUAAUAAUCAAGUGCAUACUGUGUGGGAAGUUCUUGGCAGACAUUUGGACUUAAACCAGCACUGUUCCUGAUCUAAUUGCCCAUGCGGUAAAAAUGGGGCUUAGAAGACAGGGAAAGUAGGAAUCGACAUGUAAAAGUAAUAUAAUAAAUUAUAGUAUUAUUAUAAAUAUGCUGAAGGAAAUGGACAGAGUGAAGUGAUGGGCAAAACAAGGUAGAAAGCAUUUACCCAGGGUGGUUGUGAAAGCUGCUGCCAACAAAUGCACUUUUGGAAGAAAAGUGACAUAAAUGGAGCAUGAGCAUUGGAAGGAGCGUCUUCUAGGCAUAUAGAACAGCAAGGGCAAAUCCACCUGGCAGUGCCAUUUUGUGAGGCCUCCUGGUUUUGUUACCAGCCUUCUGUCACUGUAAUCUUGUCCCUUUGCUUGACUUCUUGAGGGGUCUUAAAAGAAAGUACAUUAACAGAGAGGAGGUAUUAGCUAGGGGUUCUUGCAGAAUUAGGAAUAAACCACACACUUUGUUUCAUUUCCUUCUUCCAGUCACCACUGCACCAUUGCUUGGAAUUUAUUAUCAAUUCAUUAACAUUGUCUCCAUUUUCUCAUACACAACUAUGGCUUUACUGUGGUGCAUCUCAGUCUCUCGAUUUCAAAACCUUUCCUGAAAAUGAAUUCUAGCAGAGUGCUCUAAAGCUGUAAUUAUGCUUCCAAAAUAAAAAUGCUUUAUUUUUCAGUGAUUCUCUCUACA